RNAcentral lists this ribosomal RNA (253 nucleotides) under uncultured bacterium. RNAcentral's name for it is "partial 16S ribosomal RNA". It matches the Rfam family "Bacterial small subunit ribosomal RNA", at positions 524 to 776 of the family's 1533-position model. The record is from RNAcentral.
UACGGAGGGUGCAAGCGUUGUCCGGAAUCACUGGGCGUAAAGGGCGCGUAGGCGGCCUGGUAAGUAGGGGGUGAAAUCCUGCGGCUUAACCGCAGGGCUGCCUUCUAAACUGUCAGGCUUGAGCACGGUAGAGGCAGAUGGAAUUCCCGGUGUAGCGGUGGAAUGCGUAGAGAUCGGGAAGAACAUCAGUGGCGAAGGCGGUCUGCCGGGCCGUUGCUGACGCUGAGGCGCGACAGCGUGGGGAGCAAACAGG